GAAAUGCGAUAAGUAAUGUGAAUUGCAGAAUUCAGUGAAUCAUCGAAUCUUUGAACGCACCUUGCGCCCUUUGGCUAUUCCGAAGGGCAUGCCUGUUUGAGUAUCAUGAACACCUCAACUCUCAUGGUUUGCCAUGAUGAGCUUGGACUUUGGAGGUCUUGCCGGCCUGUGGUCGGCUCCUCUCAAAUGGAUCAGCUUGCCAGUGUUUGGUGGCAUCCCAGGUGUGAUAACUAUCUACGCUUGUGGUUUUCCACCAGAUAACCUUCAGUGAUGGAGGUUCGCUGGAGCUCAUAAAUGUCUCUCCUCAGCGAAGACAGCUCUGUGAACGUUUGAUCUCAAAUCAGGUAGGACUACCCGCUGAACUUAA
Molecule: unclassified non-coding RNA, 367 nt
Filed under: uncultured Thelephoraceae
Lineage: Eukaryota; Fungi; Basidiomycota; Agaricomycetes; Thelephorales; Thelephoraceae
Description: sequence contains ITS1
Rfam family: 5.8S ribosomal RNA (bases 1-106)
Source: RNAcentral